AAUGAACGCUGGCGGCAGGCCUAACACAUGCAAGUCGAACGGGUCCUUCGGGACUAGUGGCGGACGGGUGAGUAACGCGUGGGAACAUACCCUUUGGUACGGAAUAGCCUCUGGAAACGGAGAGUAAUACCGUAUGUGCUCGUAAGAGGAAAGAUUUAUCGCCAAAGGAUUGGCCCGCGUUGGAUUAGGUAGUUGGUGGGGUAAUGGCCUACCAAGCCGACGAUCCAUAGCUGGUUUGAGAGGAUGAUCAGCCACACUGGGACUGAGACACGGCCCAGACUCCUACGGGAGGCAGCAGUGGGGAAUCUUAGACAAUGGGGGAAACCCUGAUCUAGCCAUGCCGCGUGAUCGAUGAAGGCCUUAGGGUUGUAAAGAUCUUUCAGUUGGGAAGAUAAUGACGGUACCAACAGAAGAAGCCCCGGCUAACUCCGUG
Molecule: ribosomal RNA, 433 nt
Filed under: uncultured bacterium
Lineage: Bacteria
Description: bacterial SSU rRNA
Rfam family: Bacterial small subunit ribosomal RNA
Source: RNAcentral